Molecule: ribosomal RNA, 397 nt
Filed under: uncultured bacterium
Lineage: Bacteria
Description: bacterial SSU rRNA
Rfam family: Bacterial small subunit ribosomal RNA
Source: RNAcentral
GAGCGCUGUAGCAAUACAGAGCGGCGCACGGGUGAGUAACACGUGGGAACGUGCCCUUUGGUUCGGAAUAACUCAGGGAAACUUGAGCUAAUACCGGAUAAGCCCUAACGGGGAAAGAUUUAUCGCCAUUGGAGCGGCCCGCGUCCGAUUAGCUUGUUGGUGAGGUAACGGCUCACCAAGGCGACGAUCGGUAGCUGGUCUGAGAGGACGACCAGCCACACUGGGACUGAGACACGGCCCAGACUCCUACGGGAGGCAGCAGUGGGGAAUCUUGGACAAUGGGGGAAACCCUGAUCCAGCCAUGCCGCGUGAGUGAUGAAGGCCCUAGGGUUGUAAAACUCUUUCGGCGGGGACGAUAAUGACGGUACCCGCAGAAGAAGCUCCGGCUAACUUCGUG